UCCGUAGGCGGGCAAUUAAGUCAGAGGUGAAAUCCCACAGCUCAACUGUGGAACUGCCUUCGAUACUGGUUGUCUUGAGUUACAGUGAAGUAGAUAGAAUAUGUAGUGUAGCGGUGAAAUGCAUAGAUAUUACAUAGAAUACCGAUUGCGAAGGCAGUCUACUAACUGUAUACUGACGCUAAUGGACGAAAGCGUGGGGAGCGAACAGGAUUAGAUACCCUGGUAGUC
RNAcentral lists this ribosomal RNA (228 nucleotides) under uncultured bacterium. RNAcentral's name for it is "partial 16S ribosomal RNA". It matches the Rfam family "Bacterial small subunit ribosomal RNA", at positions 568 to 795 of the family's 1533-position model. The record is from RNAcentral.